CAUGCAAGUCGAGCGGUAACAGGGGGUGCUUGCUCCCCGCUGACGAGCGGCGGACGGGUGAGUAAUGCAUAGGAAUCUGCCCGAUAGUGGGGGAUAACCUGGGGAAACCCAGGCUAAUACCGCAUACGUCCUACGGGAGAAAGGGGGCUUCGGCUCCCGCUAUCGGAUGAGCCUAUGUCGGAUUAGCUGGUUGGUGAGGUAAAGGCUCACCAAGGCGACGAUCCGUAGCUGGUCUGAGAGGAUGAUCAGCCACAUCGGGACUGAGACACGGCCCGAACUCCUACGGGAGGCAGCAGUGGGGAAUAUUGGACAAUGGGGGGAACCCUGAUCCAGCCAUGCCGCGUGUGUGAAGAAGGCCCUCGGGUUGUAAAGCACUUUCAGUGAGGAAGAACGCCUGGUGGUUAAUACCCAUCAGGAAAGACAUCACUCACAGAAGAAGCACCGGCUAACUCCGUGCCAGCAGCCGCGGUAAUACGGAGGGUGCGAGCGUUAAUCGGAAUUACUGGGCGUAAAGCGCGCGUAGGUGGCUUGAUAAGCCGGUUGUGAAAGCCCCGGGCUCAACCUGGGAACGGCAUCCGGAACUGUCAAGCUAGAGUGCAGGAGAGGAAGGUAGAAUUCCCGGUGUAGCGGUGAAAUGCGUAGAGAUCGGGAGGAAUACCAGUGGCGAAGGCGGCCUUCUGGACUGACACUGACACUGAGGUGCGAAAGCGUGGGUAGCAAACAGGAUUAGAUACCCUGGUAGUCCACGCCGUAAACGAUGUCGACCAGCCGUUGGGUGCC
RNAcentral lists this ribosomal RNA (780 nucleotides) under Halomonas sp. GG-4. RNAcentral describes it as "bacterial SSU rRNA". It matches the Rfam family "Bacterial small subunit ribosomal RNA", at positions 54 to 831 of the family's 1533-position model. The record is from RNAcentral. Lineage: Bacteria; Pseudomonadati; Pseudomonadota; Gammaproteobacteria; Oceanospirillales; Halomonadaceae.